CGUGCAGCAAGGAAUUUUCCGCAAUGGGCGCAAGCCUGACGGAGCAACGCCGCGUGGGUGAAGACGUCUUUCGGGAUGUAAAGCCCUUUUCUGGGGGAAGAGCAAGGACGGUACCCCAGGAAUAAGCCCCGGCUAACUACGUGCCAGCAGCCGCGGUAAUACGUAGGGGGCGAGCGUUGUCCGGAAUUACUGGGCGUAAAGCGCGCGCAGGCGGUCGGCCAAGUUCGGCGUGAAAGCCCCCGGCUCAACUGGGGAGGGUCGUUGGAAACUGGUCGACUGGAGGACAGGAGAGGAGCAUGGAAUUCCCGGUGUAGUGGUGAAAUGCGUAGAGAUCGGGAGGAACACCAGUGGCGAAAGCGGUGCUCUGGCCUGCCCCUGACGCUGAGGCGCGAAAGCGUGGGGAGCGAACGGGAUUAGAUACCCCGGUAGUCCACGCCGUAAACGAUGGACACUAGGUGUAGGUGGUAUUGACCCCACCUGUGCCGCAGCUAACGCAGUAAGUGUCCCGCCUGGGGAGUACGGCCGCAAGGCUA
RNAcentral lists this ribosomal RNA (533 nucleotides) under uncultured bacterium. Its description in RNAcentral is "bacterial SSU rRNA". It matches the Rfam family "Bacterial small subunit ribosomal RNA", at positions 348 to 896 of the family's 1533-position model. The record is from RNAcentral.